GGGGAAUGCGGGCGCGAAUUCGCCCUUCAGGCCUAACCAUGCAAGUCGAGCGGAUGAAGGGAGCUUGCUCCCUGAUUUAGCGGCGGACGGGUGAGUAAUGCCUAGGAAUCUGCCUGGUAGUGGGGGAUAACGUUCCGAAAGGAACGCUAAUACCGCGUACGUCCUACGGGAGAAAGCAGGGGACCUUCGGGCCUUGCGCUAUCAGAUGAGCCUAGGUCGAAUUAGCUAGUUGGUGAGGUAAUGGCUCACCAAGGCGACGAUCCGUAACUGGUCUGAGAGGAUGAUCAGUCACACUGGAACUGAGACACGGUCCAGACUCCUACGGGAGGCAGCAGUGGGGAAUAUUGGACAAUGGGCGAAAGCCUGAUCCAGCCAUGCCGCGUGUGUGAAGAAGGUCUUCGGAUUGUAAAGCACUUUAAGUUGGGAGGAAGGGCUGCUGGUUAAUACCCUGCAGUUUUGACGUUACCAACAGAAUAAGCACCGGCUAACUUCGUGCCAGCAGCCGCGGUAAUACGAAGGGUGCAAGCGUUAAUCGGAAUUACUGGGCGUAAAGCGCGCGUAGGUGGUUCGUUAAGUUGGAUGUGAAAGCCCCGGGCUCAACCUGGGAACUGCAUCCAAAACUGGCGAGCUAGAGUACGGUAGAGGGUGGUGGAAUUUCCUGUGUAGCGGUGAAAUGCGUAGAUAUAGGAAGGAACACCAGUGGCGAAGGCGACCACCUGGACUGAUACUGACACUGAGGUGCGAAAGCGUGGGGAGCAAACAGGAUUAGAUACCCUGGUAGUCCACGCCGUAAACGAUGUCAACUAGCCGUUGGAAUCCUUGAGAUUUUAGUGGCGCAGCUAACGCAUUAAGUUGACCGCCUGGGGAGUACGGCCGCAAGGUUAAAACUCAAGUGAAUUG
This 900-nucleotide ribosomal RNA is filed under the name uncultured bacterium. RNAcentral describes it as "bacterial SSU rRNA". It matches the Rfam family "Bacterial small subunit ribosomal RNA", at positions 1 to 912 of the family's 1533-position model. The record is from RNAcentral.